CACGUACCAGCCUCCCCUGCCCGCCCCACAACCCCACCCCAGCCAACACACCAGAGAGAAUGUCCCAUUGCUUUGCCCCACCAUUAGAUUGGUCAGAGCUAAGAGCCCAGCCAGCUGGCGUUCUACCCAGGAAGGGCUGUAGUGCCGACAGGCGACUAGCUCGAACGGCGCCAGUCCGAGAGCACUACUGCCUCCUUCCACGAGCGCCGCUGCGGUUGCACUGCUGAUUGGCUGGCUCCACUCUCUUCUAAGUGGCUUAGCCUUGCGUUCGCGCAGGGACACAUCCAAUGAGGAGCGAGGGCGCUUUCAGGAGGCGGGCAUUGCUCGACCGGUUCCACUUCUGAUUGGUCCAGGGGCUUGCCUCUUCUCUUUUGAUCGAUCAGAGGGGCGGGAGGCGGGAGCCCAGCUCAACGGUUUCAGGCGGCAGUUGGGAGUUCUGUCCCUGUGCUUCGAAAGUUCAGCUUCAGGGCUCGGUGGAGUGUUGUCUGGCGCCUACUUCCCCGCAGCUAGCUGAGGAACUGGGGAGGGAACACGGGGGCAGGAGGACCUGGGACUGUAGCUGCAGCUCCAAGUCGGGAUGGAGACCGACUGAGGCGAGUGGCGGACCGGCGGGUGCAAACCCCUCAAAAAGCUGGAAGAGUCAGGUGCUGUAGUAGUAGUAACAGCAGCUCCCGCUCACCGAGCCCUUUUGGUGGACCGCUGUGUGUGCAUCAUCUCACUGACUCCUUCUAAAUAACCCUGUUACUCUGCCGGUUAACCUCUGAGGGUCAUUUGUCGCCCACAGCGAGAGCCGGCAUUGCUGGAACUCCGAUCUUGUUCUAGAGAGUCCGGCAUUCGAGCUACACCAUGAUUAAGUAGGGUUGAUCUUGUAGAUGUGGGGUGGGGCCUGAUGUGAUCACCUUGGCCCUGGCUUACCUCGUCCAUAUAUGAAGGUGUUUGGGUUUUGGUUUUGGACUAGGAUCUGAUCCUGAAGGCUUCACUCAGUACAUAUGCUCAAGUCCUCAAACUUUUAGGGAAUGGUUUAACCCUUCCUGGCAACGCUGCAAGCCCUGCCACGUGAACAAACUUGGGCUGGCCUGCGGUAGACACAUGGCCCAGUUCAGAGUCAUUACCCCAGCCACCUACACCCACUGCCAGCCAGCCAUACAUGGAUUGCUUUUAGGUUAUUCUCGUACAGAGCAUCUUUGCACCCACUUGUGAGUGCAUAUGCAGAAUAGAUUCCCAGAGGUGGAAUCACGUGGUCAAAGGGGUGAGAGUUUUACAUUUUCGGGACUAAGCUUACCUGCCCUCGUGUAAGGAAUGUAAACCACAGCGGGUGUAGUCAGAGGCGUGUGCCUGCCCGAUGGCUUGUACAGUGUAUUCUUUCCAUUCUAUACUCUCAGAUGAUGAAAGAAACAUUGACCCAGUGGGGCAGGAGAGGGAGGUAAGCCUGGGGAGGUGGCAAGGAGACAAGCCAUAAGGGACCUUCAGUGCCAGGCAGAGGUGCUGGAUGUUAUCCCGAGGACACUGGGGAGCCGAGUAGGAGUAGAGGCUCGAUCAAGCCAUGGACAGACGUGGUCAGGUAGAGAUGUGGUAAGAAGAAACAUCAAAUGGCUACCUCUCCCUUGGGUGGCCCCGGGAGCCUCACUCGGCCCUCACGUCUCUCUCCUUCCCUCUCACCCACAGGAGUGGGCAUGAGAGCGGAGGGACCAGGGCAGACAAACCUGUUCUGCCGGCCGAGGCCUGCCUAGGACAGGCCACGCUGCUGCCAGUCCGGCUGAGUGAACUACACUCUGCAGGCGUGUGACCAGAUGGAGCCAAGGAAGGUGGUGGCAAAUGUGGGACAGAGGUGGAAGCCUGCCUACCCGCCUUCUCCGAAGCCAGCGCAACCCCCAGCCCCAGCAUUUGGCAGGGCCUGGCCUGUUUUAACUGUUUAGGUAAAAUUCGAAAAUGUUCCAGGGCGCCUGGAACAUUGUGGCUGGGUCGGUUAAGCGUCCGACUUCGGCUCAGGUCAUGAUCUCACAGUUCGUGAGUUCGAGCCCCGUGUCAGGCUCUGUGCUGACAGCUCAGAGCCUGGAGCCUGCUUCAGAUUCUGUGUCUCCCUCUCUCUCUCUGCCCCUCCCCCGUUCAUGCUCUGUCUCUCUCUGUUGCAAAAAUAAAUAAACGUUAAAAAAAAUUAAAAAAAAAAAAAAAAAGAAAAUGUUUCGCAGAACCAUUCUUUCCUUGAUACACAUCUCAUGUCCCAUGGUGACGUUUUUCUUAACAUUUGUUUAUUGUUUUUGGAGGACAAACAAUAAUCAUUGAAUAUUGGCAAAUACCAAAAUAGCCAAGGAAUGAAGUAAAAGUCCCUGCAAGUCUCUCCUCUUCCUUAGUAACCGACGAUAACCUUUGGGAGACUUUGUUUUACAAUUUUAUUUAUUGAUUUUUUAAUGUUUAUUUUUGAGAGAG
This is a long non-coding RNA of Panthera uncia (snow leopard), 2427 nucleotides long. RefSeq lists it as uncharacterized. NCBI's taxonomy places the organism in Eukaryota, Metazoa, Chordata, Mammalia, Carnivora, Felidae. The transcript has 3 exons. The record is from RefSeq and is a predicted model, not a curated record.